GGCCUCGUAGCUCAAGUGGCUAGAGCGUUGGCUGUACUAAAGCCUCCCCGUGCGCUUGUGGGUUCGAAUCCCACCGAGCCCG
This 82-nucleotide transfer RNA is filed under the name Schistocephalus solidus. It matches the Rfam family "tRNA". From Rfam's summary of the family: Transfer RNA (tRNA) molecules are approximately 80 nucleotides in length. Their secondary structure includes four short double-helical elements and three loops (D, anti-codon, and T loops). The record is from Rfam by way of RNAcentral. Lineage: Eukaryota; Metazoa; Platyhelminthes; Cestoda; Diphyllobothriidea; Diphyllobothriidae.